This 253-nucleotide ribosomal RNA is filed under the name uncultured bacterium. RNAcentral's name for it is "partial 16S ribosomal RNA". It matches the Rfam family "Bacterial small subunit ribosomal RNA", at positions 524 to 776 of the family's 1533-position model. The record is from RNAcentral.
UACAGAGGUCUCAAGCGUUGUUCGGAUUCAUUGGGCGUAAAGGGUGCGUAGGCGGCGCGGUAAGUCGGGUGUGAAAGCCCCGGGCUCAACCUGGGAAUUGCAUUCGAGACUGCGUAGCUAGGGUGCGGAAGAGGGAAGCGGAAUUUCCGGUGUAGUGGUGAAAUGCGUAGAUAUCGGGAGGAACACCAGUGGCGAAGGCGACUACCUGGCCUGUUCUUGACGCUGAGGCGCGAAAGCUAGGGGAGCAAACGGG